UACGUAGGGUGCGAGCGUUUAAUCGGAAUUACUGGGCGUAAAGUGUGCGCAGGCGGCCGCGCAAGUCGAGUGUGAAAGCCCCGAGCUUAACUUGGGAAUUGCGCUCGAAACUACGUGGCUGGAGUGUGGCAGAGGAAGGUGGAAUUCCACGUGUAGCGGUGAAAUGCGUAGAGAUGUGGAGGAACACCAAUGGCGAAGGCAGCCUUCUGGGCCAACACUGACGCUCAUGCACGAAAGCGUGGGGAGCAAACAGG
This 254-nucleotide ribosomal RNA is filed under the name uncultured bacterium. Its description in RNAcentral is "partial 16S ribosomal RNA". It matches the Rfam family "Bacterial small subunit ribosomal RNA", at positions 524 to 776 of the family's 1533-position model. The record is from RNAcentral.